GAUGAACGCUGACAGAAUGCUUAACACAUGCAAGUCUUUGGCGAAGCUGUGCUUGCACAGCCUAGCCAAGGCGGACGGGUGAGUAACGCGUAAGGAACUUGCCCUGCAGUCAGGGAUAACAGACGGAAACGACUGAUAAGACCUGGUAAAGUCAGGCGGACUCAUGUCCAGCCUGAUGAAAAGAGAUGCUGCAGGAGAGCCUUGCGUCCUAUUAGCUUGUUGGUGGGGUAACGGCCCACCAGGGCGAUGAUAGGUAGCCGGCCUGAGAGGGUGGACGGCCACAAGGGGACUGAGAUACGGCCCUUACUCCUACGGGAGGCAGCAGUGGGGAAUAUUGGACAAUGGGGGCAACCCUGAUCCAGCAAUUCUGUGUGCACGAUGAAGGUUUUCGGAUUGUAAAGUGCUUUCAGCAGGGAAGAAAAAAAUGACGGUACCUGCAGAAGAAGCGACGGCUAAAUACGUG
Molecule: ribosomal RNA, 463 nt
Filed under: uncultured bacterium
Lineage: Bacteria
Description: partial 16S ribosomal RNA
Rfam family: Bacterial small subunit ribosomal RNA
Source: RNAcentral